UCGAUUUAAACGGCCCUGGGGGACUAUUGAAUUUAACAACAAAAUUUUUAUUAAAAUUAAAUAAAAUUCUAAAUUAAUUAAAAAACUUACAAUAUAAAAAAUCGAUUACAACAAAUAAAAAAAAAUUACAUAUUCCAUCCUCGUAGUGCGUAAAUUUUCGCAACCAAAUUGUUGUGAAAAGCUGUCGGGCCCAUUUUCAACGUAUCCUUGCUCAUGAUUUGGAAGUCGACUAGGUCGCGUUGAAAUUGAUUGAAAAUGUUCAUGCAUUUUGCCAUGUUUUCCAUGGUCUUGGCGUAUUUUGUCUUUCUCCCAUUUCGCCAACGACUCGACUUGCUUACCUUUUUCUUAUGUCGCUUGGCCGCCUUUUGGCGUAUAGGUCUCGCCGUGAUGUUCGAUCGGAAGAUGUCGCCAUGUACCCUUCAUCGGAGCCCUUAGAACGCUUCAAAUAAUGGAUGUCAUUGCUGGUUGAUGCGAAUCUUUGAGAUUCGCAAAUAAUAUGCCAAGCCCCUGGGUAUUUGAAUUGACCGUGUGUUCAUUUUGAUAAAUGAUUUGCUCAUCACUCAUGUCACUUCACUAAUUUGCUCGGCAGUUAUGUAUAUAGCCUCUCAAACCGUGACGUUCUUUUGGACACGUAAAAAUGCGACAUGAGUUGCUUGUUGUGGCGUGGAAUAAUGUUUGGAGGUUGUUGAUCGUUGUAUUUCUUCGCGAUUUCUCCCAAUACACAAAGGCCUUUUGAUCGACUUCCUUAAUGGCGUUGAGCAUUGCCUCGGGCAACAAUGAGCAUUGCUUGAUCGUCUUCAGAAGAGUAGGUAUCUCGAUCACUUCAUCAUCUUGAACAAAUUGAACCCCUCAAGACCCACCAGAGUGAAGGCGUUUGAUUCUUGAGAAAAUGACGAAAAGGCGCCGAAAUAAGAGUUUGAAAUCCCCAGCGACGACGCUUGAUUUUAUUGGUUGCUCAAUUUUAAUUUCUAUUUUUUUGAAAUGAAAAAAGACGAAGAAUGAUGUAAAUACAGAGUGAAAAAGAAUAGAAAAGAGUAUCGUUGAGAAUAAGCCAAUUGCUCUUUUCAUAUUUUCUCUCUUUUCGUUAAAAAUUUACAACUUUUUAUUUAUUUUGUUGUGUAUAUAUGAAAAUAUUUUUUUUAUUAUGACGUGUAAUACUCUAUAAAAAUGAGUAAUGUUAAUUUUCAUUAUCAAAUAAUUUAAAAUUAUUUAAUAACUAUGAUUAUUAUUACACUUUGUACAAAGUUGAAAAUUUACAUUUUUAAAUUUUGAAUUUUAUUGAGUAAUUGUAUUUAAUAUUUAUACUUACUUAUUUAAAUAUAUCGUUGAAUUUCAAUAUUCGCAAUGCAGAUGGGCGUACUAGUGAUCAUAAGAAAGAGGAAUUGAUGAUUGAUCUAUCCCAAUGUUAAUAUUUAGGUAAAGAGAAUGUCAAAUUUUGAGAUUAAUGUCCCUAAUCAGUGAGACACAGUAAUAAUUUAAUAUGUUUGGCAUCUGAUUCAUAAACAGAGUGAGACUUUUACACAAAUGCUACAAAUCCUAAAAUCAUGAUUAUAAAGCAUCAAUAAUUUUUUGGUGUACAUGAUAUGGCUUUCACACCAGCAACAUAGAAAUGAAAUUGAGAGAGAGAGAGAGGAGCCAGGGAAGAGGCAGUGCAUGGAAAGGGCAACAAAACCAAGUAUGGUGUUGAAAGGUCCAUCCCAUGCUCUGUCUCGUCCCCGUCUCCUCCUUCAUUUCCCCGCUCAUCUCUUUAAACUUUCACAAUACAUAUAUAAAUUACCUCUGCUCUGCUCUGCUCUUCUUCUUCGCCUCCAUUUUCUGUAUAUGCUGAAUAUGAAAUAAGAUGACAAAAAUGUCCUAGUCUUGCAAUGAUGAUCAAUUUGGGCCGCUACCUAUUUAUACACUAUUUAAUUUACUUUUACAUUGUGUUGUGUGAGGAUUUUCUGGUAGAGAAUUAUUGAUGAAAUACAACAAGUACUUCCUUCUCUAAUAGUACAAGUGCCAAGCAGCAUAGUACAAAAUAUCCACCCUUACUACUAAGACUAUGACAUGUGGUACUUCAUUAUAGUAUAGCUUGUACGUCACCCUCUUCUUUUACUUUAAACACUUCAAUAUUUCAACGCUACAAGCAC
This 2129-nucleotide long non-coding RNA is filed under the name Salvia miltiorrhiza (redroot sage). RNAcentral describes it as "long non-coding RNA (SMIL_LNC006612)". Lineage: Eukaryota; Viridiplantae; Streptophyta; Magnoliopsida; Lamiales; Lamiaceae. The record is from RNAcentral.